UUACGGCCUGGGCUACACACGUGCUACAAUGGUCGGUACAAAGGGUUGCCAAGCCGCGAGGUGGAGCUAAUCCCAUAAAACCGAUCGUAGUCCGGAUCGCAGUCUGCAACUCGACUGCGUGAAGUCGGAAUCGCUAGUAAUCGUGAAUCAGAAUGUCACGGUGAAUACGUUCCCGGGCCUU
Molecule: ribosomal RNA, 181 nt
Filed under: uncultured Pseudomonas sp.
Lineage: Bacteria; Pseudomonadati; Pseudomonadota; Gammaproteobacteria; Pseudomonadales; Pseudomonadaceae
Description: partial 16S ribosomal RNA
Rfam family: Bacterial small subunit ribosomal RNA
Source: RNAcentral